Molecule: long non-coding RNA, 1900 nt
Filed under: Sus scrofa (pig)
Lineage: Eukaryota; Metazoa; Chordata; Mammalia; Artiodactyla; Suidae
Description: lncRNA (ENSSSCG00040024452.1)
Source: RNAcentral
CCGAGGGCUUUGGGCGUGUGGCGCGGGCUCUUGAACAUGAAGACUUCCGGGGCUGCGGUGGGUGGGGAAGUCGACCGGCUGCCUCGUAGCGGAAAAGUGAGCGAGGCAGAACAGUUUACGGUCUUCACGGGUAGCUUUUUCGAGGGUAGGGUCCGUUCUCAUGCUUGGCGAAGCCCGGGAGGUGGAGCCUGAUCGCAGCCAGGCCCUUGCAGCCUGCGGCGGUCCGUGAACGCCGGCCUCUCCCUCAUCUUCCAGUAAGCUUAGGUCUGAGGUGGAGGGCGAGGCAUGGUAUGUUUGACAAGCUGGAGAAAUAAGGGGACUCAGACUUCGCAAAGCAGUUACCAACCUGUUGGAGUAAAUGCUCAACGUUCAGCUUAAAUGUAACUCAAGUUUUUAAAGCUUGGCGUAGUCUUUCACGGUUGAAAGACUAGCAGUUUUUUCUCUUGAAAGUUACCCAUUCGUAUUGAUUAAUAUUUCCUAACCUGUACCCGGAGCCAGGACCCAUGCUCACAGCCAUCGCAAAGUCGCAAAGGGGGAAGAAGGUGAAAACCAACAUGCUUAAGAUUUGCGACCAGAAUGGCAUUCCCUAAACUGUGUUCUCUGAAACAUCAGGCCUCUGCAAAAUGUUAAUAGCUGCUUCGUGGAAAAAAUUUACAGCAUCAAUACUGAGGAAAACACAAAUUAUUGGAAGUACACCGGUAUAGCAUUCUUGCCAAAAUGUUUGGCCUGAAUCUGUGAAGAAACACUCAGAUAAAUUCAGGAUGUGAUUUUCAUGGACUUUUCAGGAAUGUCAGUAUCAUGAAAGGCAAACAACAAAAGACAGAAGGACUGAUCAUCAUUAAUGGUUUGAAAUAUUCAGGAUUAAGAAGUUGGGGAAAAGGUAGGUAACAACUAUCUUUAAAAAAAUGUAUUGGUUAUGUUUAUAAGAAAAUGCAGAAUUCAUUUAUGUACAUAGUUUUCUUAUAAUCUGACCUUGAAAAAUAGUGUACCAUAUUUAAGAACUAUAGGAAAUCAUUUGAGAAAUGAUCUCAUUCUUAAAAUUAUAAUAUUGAACCUGUACACUGAGGUCCAUUUGACAACCAAAUUAAUGUUAAUGUAUACUAUUUCCCCUGCUCUAUAUUCUGCAUUAGAAUUUUAACAUAAAUGCAUUCUUGGAAUCUGUCAAUCAUUUUUUGAAUGUUUCUUUAUGCCUGCAAAUAUAUACUGAGUGACUGCUGUGUGCCAGCCGCUAUAGUAGGUUGUGGAGAUACCUGUCAUCAAUUCAGAUAAAAUCUCUGCCCGCACAAAACUUAUAUUGAGGGAUCAAGAAGAAACAGUAAAUAAGCAAUACAUAUCAAAUGAUUAUAAGUGCUAUGUAGAAUAAUAAACUAGAGAUUAAAGGUUAAGGAGUGCCAGGUAAAAAUGGGCAUAUAUUUUAUGUAGGGUGGCCAAAGAAGAACUCACUGAGGUGACCUUUCCUUUUUCUGGCUACACCUGCAGCACGUGGAAGUUCCCAGGCCAGGGAUUAUUCUGUGCCACAGCAGUGACAAUGCUGGAUCCUUAAUUCACUGAGCCGCCAGGGAACUCCUGAGAAGGUGACUUUUGGGCAGAAGCCUGAAGACUGAAGAAAGCGAGGAGUGAGCUGUGGGUGUCUAAUGAAAGCACAUGUGGAGAACAUAGUAACUGUUAGCUAUUACUACUGAGUUCCCCUUUUGGCUCAGUGGUUAAGAAACCUGACUAGGAUCCAUGAGACACAGUUCGAUCCCUGGCCUUGCUCAGUGGCUUAAGGAUCCUGGUGUCAGUAGCAGACACAGCUCGGAUCCUGUGUUGCUGUGGCUGUGGGGUAGGCCGGCAGCUUCAGCUUUGAUUUGACCCGUAGCCUGGGAAUCUCGAUAUACUGUGGGUGCAGCCCUAAAAAGAC